RNAcentral lists this ribosomal RNA (252 nucleotides) under uncultured prokaryote. RNAcentral describes it as "partial 16S ribosomal RNA". It matches the Rfam family "Bacterial small subunit ribosomal RNA", at positions 525 to 775 of the family's 1533-position model. The record is from RNAcentral.
ACGUAGGGUGCGAGCGUUAAUCGGAAUUACUGGGCGUAAAGCGUGCGCAGGCGGCUCUAUAAGACAGAUGUGAAAUCCCCGGGCUUAACCUGGGAACUGCGUUUGUGACUGUAGGGCUUGAGUGCGGCAGAGGGGGGUGGAAUUCCGCGUGUAGCAGUGAAAUGCGUAGAUAUCGGGAGGAACACCGGUGGCGAAAGCGACUCUCUAGACCGUAACUGACGAUGAGUGUGCGAAAGCUAGGGGAACAAACGG